CUCCACCACCGCACAGCAAAAGACCUGUAGCAUCCCCGCCGGACAGCGGCUAGGGUCACAGUGGGUUCAAUUCACUGGGCAAAAACUAGGAAACACCCUGGACAGGUUGCCAGUCCAUCACAAGUGACUGCAGAUCACCAUGUGAGGACAUCUUACAUUUCCUUCUGUUUACCUCCUGUCCCCCAAUCUGGCACACUUUCUUUUGCUGAUUUGUGCACAAAAAGUAGGAGAAUAAGAGCUCUGUGUGAAAGUUUAUGUAACGUUCUGUGUAAAUGUGCUCAUGUGGAGAAUGAGACGGCAGGAGGUUUCCCUUGUGCUGACAAAACAAAUACACUGUUCAAUAAAUCACAGAAGUGGCUAUCCUUAGACGCUCAUCAGCAGCACUGCCACACAUAUGGAGACCUAAACAAUAAAAACAAUGGAUAUA
Long non-coding RNA from Trichomycterus rosablanca, 427 nucleotides. RefSeq lists it as uncharacterized. The record is from RefSeq and is a predicted model, not a curated record. The transcript is spliced from 3 exons. Lineage: Eukaryota; Metazoa; Chordata; Actinopteri; Siluriformes; Trichomycteridae.